UUUCCGGAGGUGAACCUGCGGAAGGAUCAUUAUCGUACAAAAUGUGAGGGGCAUGCGAGGGCUGUCGCUGACCCAAAAGUCGUGCACGCCCGAGUGUGUCCUCUUGCAUAAUAAUCCAUCUCACCCUUUGUGCAUAACCGCGUGGGCACCCUUCGGGAUCAUCUCGGAGGGGGGCUCACGUUUUCACACAAACCCCCCUUUUAAAAGUGUAGAAUGACCACAUUUAUGCAAUCAAUACAACUUUCAACAACGGAUCUCUUGGCUCUC
RNAcentral lists this unclassified non-coding RNA (267 nucleotides) under plant metagenome. RNAcentral describes it as "partial contains small subunit ribosomal RNA, internal transcribed spacer 1, and 5.8S ribosomal RNA". The record is from RNAcentral.